Molecule: long non-coding RNA, 4736 nt
Organism: Silurus meridionalis
Lineage: Eukaryota; Metazoa; Chordata; Actinopteri; Siluriformes; Siluridae
Exons: 2
Source: RefSeq, a predicted model, not a curated record
AGACGAAGUGUAUCUUCUGGGGGAGGACAGUAAUUGGCUUAUCUGUUGAUAACCUCAUUGUUUUAUAUCAUUUGAACACACAAGGCUGCAUCCAUGUGAGUGUUCUGGAUUCUACACAUGGAACAAUGAUAUGAUUUGCAUUUAGUUGUGUUACAGUUGUGUGAAACGUGUGUAUAUAUGUGUGUAUUUCUUUGUGUGUUCAGGCAAAAAUGAAAGAGGUGGCUUAGGGACUGCUUGAUGAUUGGCUGAACAAAGCCAGGGUCAGUGGAUUAAAGGAUUAAGGGGGAGCAUAAGAGAGAGGGGGGAGUGUGAGAGAGAGAGAGAGAGAGAGAGAGAGAGAGAGAGAGAAAUGAAUAAACAAGAGAGAACUGCAUUCUGAGAACAUGUGAGAAAGCAUUGGAAUUAAAAAAAGAGGGAUAAACAAAGGGACCAAAGGACAGAGCAAGAGACUGUAAAACAAAGGAAUAUGUGAUCCAGAGACAUUUAGAUCCUAAGAAUGAUUGAUAGAAGUGAAAGGGACAGAUAGAAAACAACCAGUUCAACAGAUGAAUGGACGAAGUGGAGAUCGACCCUGUAACACUCAACCUCAUCAUCCUUGUUGCCAGCUACGUCAUCCUGCUCCUCGUCUUCCUCAUCUCCUGCAUGAUGUACGACUGCCAAGGCAGAGACCCGAGCAAAGAGUACGCUCCCGAUCCGGUACCUGGCACCAACCACACUCCCAUCCGCCUCGUCGUCAUGCAGAGCUCGCCCAUCUGCUGGGACAAUUCCAGAACCAUCACAGAACAAAGGGAGAAGAAGUCCACCCUGGUCUAGAGGUCUUAUAUUUCAGGAUCAUGGAAAUCAACUUAUAUGUCAACUGAUGGAAAAUAGAGACAACUUAGAAUAGUUUCGAACCCAAGCCAAAAACAAAGCUUACAAACUGCAAUUAACAUGUAGUAUACUGUUUUAGUUUUAGUAUUUUAAGUAUUAAGUAUUUUACAUUGUUUCAUCAACUAUAAUGGCACAGUCAUUGGUGAAUUGUCUGCUGAACAACUCCAAAAGGGAAUUUUGGGAACUUCCUGGUUGCUUUAGGACAUCUCUCCACACAGUACAUUUACAAAAUAAGGACUUUUCAAAUCAUGAACUCGGGAAACUUGACUUGACACAGAUUUUCAAGAUGAGGUCACAGUGUUGAGCUUCAGUGUGUGUGUGUAACCAGGCAGCAAUGAAGAAGGCUUCCUCUCCAACCUCUAUAUUACUAGGUCCUGUUGGUGGCAUCUUCAUCUAGCUGGAAACAGCGUCAACAGCAAGAGCAAUCAAGGAUAAAUUACUUUUGCUUCCAAGUGGAUGUGAACUCUGGACUACAUUGGCCAUGUGUCAUCUUCAAAACCCCCAGUGCAUUCUGUGUGAGCUGUAACUGCUAGAGAACAAUAUGUGGACAUUAUCCUUUGUGGUGCUUUGUAGGAUUUCAGCAACCCUGCCUUUUCAAUCACAAUUGUAGUCACCAGCUGGAUUUUUUUUCACAUUAGAUCAUUACCAUGAGACUAUUACUAUGAGAGAAUAACAAGAUGAAUGACUACAGACACUGUACACACUAACAUACACAACUGUUUUUGAAGAUGAGGUUUUUUAUUUUUGUAAGCCGGGGACUGGAUCUGCGGAUGGCAUCGCUGAAAAGGACAGUGUCUCUUUGUUUCCUUUUUUCUUGUUCAACCAUGAUGAUUUUGCACUUUUGUCAAGUUGACAAAAACAAGAACCCAACACACACACAUUAUAAUGUUUGCUUAGUUUACACCAAAUCCAAAAGAUUAGGGAGCUAAAUCAAAUUUCUGUAAAGCCACAUUAAAAGCUGACUUAAACUGAAAGCUGACUAAUCUAUCAAGGAUGCUAACAGCCACCAGGAAAUGCCUAAAUAACCACAUGGUCACCUGACAUAAUUUGCCUAAUAAAUAGUAUGUGUUCCCCAAAAUACAUACAACUCCAUCUUUUUUCCUCUUGGGACACGCCCACUACCUGAGUCUAAUACUGUUUUGCAGUGACUCACUUCAUUGUCUUGGACUCCAUGAUGCACUUUUAAGCAAAAUAAAUCCUUAUACACUAAAUAUGUACUAGAGAUGAUAUUUGGGAUAAAAACUAUUCCAUGAACAAACGAGACCUUAUCAUAGUCCAUCAAAUAUAUCAAAAGUUUAUCACACGUGUGCAAAUUUCCUUUUAGCUGUUUUCAAAGCUGCUAGCUGUAGCAUGUAAUGCUAUUUGAGAACGCACUCUUUGACUCCUAGGUGUCUGAACAUCAUAAGGAGAUAAGACAUCUUCGCUAAGUCGCAUCGUCAGAUAGCUUAUCAUUAGAAGAAGUGACGUUUCCCGGAAACCGUCAAAGAGAAGCCAAAGACGCUUGAUACUUUAGCAUCUUAUGAGUCAAUCAGCCAUGAAGUUAAUCCUCUUCAUUUGGAGAAGUAGAUUACUGUCCUUAUAGACAAAGGGAUAGAAAAUAUAGUUGGAUUAAAUGAUAGAAAGGAUGUUCUUCUUCACUGUGUUCUUCUUCCAUUUCUUAAUGAUCUUUAACAUAAGACAAACUUCAUCCUCAGAUGUUUUUUUUUUAUUAUUAUAACCUAGAGAGAACACAAUAUAAUGUGUUUACUUAAUUUCUUAAUAUUAGAAGAAGUUCCUGAGAGGUUUCAACUACCCUAUCCAUUCUACGCACACAAUGCAAACAAUAUUUAAAGACUACAAACUACUACAUACACCUUUUUUUAAACACGAUUAACAACACAGACCCAAUUUACCUCUGUAGGGUCUUGCACAUGCAUGUUUUUCAUGUUUUCAUUGUAAAUUUGUCAUUUAUGCCUUCCAUUCUUUUUCUUAUGUCCUUAUAAUUUGUCAUAGACUGCUGUGUGGAGUAGGAAUUUUAUUUUAUUAUGUAACAGAAUGUUUCCUGUAGAGAUGUCAUAUAAACUCUUGAAUCCAGAUUCUUGAAUCUUCUCCCAGCUAGCUUGCUAACAGCAAUUGGUCCUGUCUCUGUGUGUUUCGAGAUACUCAAACAUACGUCUCAUAUCAUAUCUCAGUAUCAUUUUCUAAGAUAAGCAUUAUCAAAAUCAGCUGCUGAUACAGUUAUAUCAAAUAGGUUUCAAAGGUUGAAUGACAGUAAGAGCUCGGUCAAUAUUUAGUAUACUACUGAUAAGAGCUACAUGACGUGGAGGUGUAGCGUAGUGUGUCAUGCGCUUUAUUUCUCUUUUACACACACGAACACACACAAACGAAAUGUUAGCCAUUGGUAUAAGUUGGCUUGAAUUGUUUCGAGCAUUAGGUUUGGAAUUUAAAAAUAGUGAAACAUGCUUGAACACGCUAACUCUGGAGCUUCACUCUAUGUUAGUCUUUUUUUUUUUGACAGUUGGCAUAUGCUAGCUACCGAUUGCUAAGUCUAACAUUUCCUUGCUAAAAUAUAGCUGUUAAUUUUUCGAUGUGAGGACGUGGUGGCUAAAAAUUUAACAAAACUAUAGAAAAUAUCAGAAUGAAUUGACAAAUGUAUGAUUUAAGCAUCAAGUACUGAUACAGACAAUAUAUAAACAACAGAUGUUACAAAUGAGAUAGAACUAUCAAGAAUAUCUACACGAAAAUGAUGAUGUAGCAAGGAAUAUUUACCUCACACAUGUUGCUAAAUUGCUAAAAAAAAUUUUACAUUUUAUUAGCUAGCACUAGCUGUCUAGACCUUGAUGCAGACAAAACACAGUUACCCUGGAAAAUGAGAAAUAUCACAUUAUACCAUUAAAAAUAUCUAAAUUUUCCCACACGUGUUGGAUAAUUUCCAGAAAAAAGGACCCUGUAUGAGCAAAAUAAUUUUUUUCAAAAGCUAGUACUUGUUGUAUACAGUAAAUAUACAGUUGUAUACAGUAAAUAUAGUUAAUCUAAUAACAGAAGUAAGACAAAAUGUCAACAUUUUCCUCAACGAAAUACUAGGAAAAGAUUCUGUAUGACUGAUGUUGCAAUGUAAUUACUAUUCAUAUCAGCAGCAAACAAAAGGUUUAAUAUGUCAUACUAUAUUGAGAGUGCUGAGAGUAUAGCACUGAGUAACUGCUCGUCAGCUCGUAGCUUGCUAAGAGUCAAUAAAUGUUAAAAAUAACAGUAGUGGAAUGCAGCACGAGCUCUCAGGCAUGUGUGUGUGAGUGUGUUUAGGUUUCGCUAUCAUCAUAUAUUAAAAAUAAUUGGCAUAGCAUCCAGUACAAGCUGGUGCUAACCAGUCGUGCCACAAAAGGUGAAACCAGAAGUGAAGAAUGUACACAUUGUACCUCUCUGACGAAUUAAACAAUGCUAAAGAACUGGAAGAUAGGUAAAAUAACUGUAAAUCCAGUUGUGUGAUUGUUGUGCCUGCCCACUAGUUACUACUGCCACUCUAAAAUUAGCAGCUGAAACAUGUUAAUUAUUUUAUACAGAUGAUAUAAACACUUCUUUUUCGAGUUAUUAUAUAUUACAUUGCCUUCACUGCCACAAUUUGUAUGCACUUCCCACUUGCGCUAAAGCGGAUCAUUCGUCUCCAUACCCCCUGUCCUCUACAUCUGCCUUUUUCAAACCAACUACCUGCAUGUCUUCCCUCACCACAUCCAGAAACCUCCUCCUUGGCCGUCCUUUUUUCCUACUUCCUGGCGGCUCCAUCCUCAGCAUUCUCCUACCGAUAUACCCCAUGUCCUUUCUCUGCACAUGUAAAAACCGUUACCAAAAUGUCCUACAUGCGCUGUCCCUCUAAUAAACUUGUUUCUAAUCUU